RNAcentral lists this unclassified non-coding RNA (336 nucleotides) under soil metagenome. RNAcentral describes it as "partial contains 5.8S ribosomal RNA, internal transcribed spacer 2, and large subunit ribosomal RNA". The stretch from base 1 to 120 matches the Rfam family "5.8S ribosomal RNA", at positions 35 to 154 of the family's 154-position model. The record is from RNAcentral.
GAUGAAGAACGUAGCGAAAUGCGAUAAGUAAUGUGAAUUGCAGAAUUCAGUGAAUCAUCGAAUCUUUGAACGCAUAUUGCGCCCGCCAGUAUUCUGGCGGGCAUGCCUGUUCGAGCGUCAUUUCAACCAUCAAGCCCCCGGCUUGUGUUGGGGACCUGCGGCUGCCGCAGGCCCUGAAAAGCAGUGGCGGGCUCGCUGUCACACCGAGCGUAGUAGCAUACAUCUCGCUCUGGGCGUGCUGCGGGUUCCGGCCGUUAAACCACCUUCAUAACCCAAGGUUGACCUCGGAUCAGGUAGGAAGACCCGCUGAACUUAAGCAUAUCAAUAAGCGGAGGA